This 119-nucleotide ribosomal RNA is filed under the name Pteropus alecto (black flying fox). Lineage: Eukaryota; Metazoa; Chordata; Mammalia; Chiroptera; Pteropodidae. The record is from RNAcentral.
GUCUCCAGCCAUACCACCCUGAACAAGCCCUAUCUCAUCUGAUCUCAGAAGCUAAGCAGGGUCAGGCCUGGUUAGUACCUGGAUAGGAGACCACCUAGUAAGACCAGGUGCUGUAGGCA